ACUUUGUAACUUCACCUUAGCCUCUGAUUGGAAUCAGACUGAUUGCGGGCUACCACUUCAUUUACAUGAGGUGAGCAUGAAGUGGCCAAUGGGAAACUUCUAGGG
Long non-coding RNA from Nomascus leucogenys (northern white-cheeked gibbon), 105 nucleotides. RefSeq lists it as uncharacterized. The transcript has 3 exons. Lineage: Eukaryota; Metazoa; Chordata; Mammalia; Primates; Hylobatidae. The record is from RefSeq and is a predicted model, not a curated record.